Dipodomys ordii (Ord's kangaroo rat) is the source of this 65-nucleotide non-coding RNA. NCBI's taxonomy places the organism in Eukaryota, Metazoa, Chordata, Mammalia, Rodentia, Heteromyidae. The record is from Rfam.
GGUGGCUCAGUGGUAGAGCACUUGCCUUGCAUCCAUAAGGCCUUAGGUUCGAUUCCUCAGCACCA